RNAcentral lists this ribosomal RNA (705 nucleotides) under uncultured bacterium. Its description in RNAcentral is "bacterial SSU rRNA". It matches the Rfam family "Bacterial small subunit ribosomal RNA", at positions 84 to 805 of the family's 1533-position model. The record is from RNAcentral.
UGUAGAGGAAAGUGGCGGACGGGUGAGUAACGCGUGAGGAACCUGCCUUGAAGAGGGGGACAACAGUUGGAAACGACUGCUAAUACCGCAUAACGCAUAGGGGUCGCAUGAUCUUUAUGCCAAAGAUUUAUUGCUUCAAGAUGGCCUCGCGUCUGAUUAGCUAGUUGGCGGGGUAACGGCCCACCAAGGCGACGAUCAGUAGCCGGACUGAGAGGUUGAACGGCCACAUUGGGACUGAGAUACGGCCCAGACUCCUACGGGGGGCAGCAGUGGGGAAUAUUGGGCAAUGGGCGCAAGCCUGACCCAGCAACGCCGCGUGAAGGAAGAAGGCUUUCGGGUUGUAAACUUCUUUUAAGAGGGAAGAGUAGAAGACGGUACCUCUAGAAUAAGCCACGGCUAACUACGUGCCAGCAGCCGCGGUAAUACGUAGGUGGCAAGCGUUGUCCGGAUUUACUGGGUGUAAAGGGCGUGCAGCCGGGUCUGCAAGUCAGAUGUGAAAUCCAUGGGCUCAACCCAUGAACUGCAUUUGAAACUGUAGAUCUUGAGUGUCGGAGGGGCAAUCGGAAUUCCUAGUGUAGCGGUGAAAUGCGUAGAUAUUAGGAGGAACACCAGUGGCGAAGGCGGAUUGCUGGACGAUAACUGACGGUGAGGCGCGAAAGUGUGGGGAGCAAACAGGAUUAGAUACCCUGGUAGUCCACACUGUAA